RNAcentral lists this transfer RNA (69 nucleotides) under Ovis aries (sheep). It matches the Rfam family "tRNA". From Rfam's summary of the family: Transfer RNA (tRNA) molecules are approximately 80 nucleotides in length. Their secondary structure includes four short double-helical elements and three loops (D, anti-codon, and T loops). The record is from Rfam by way of RNAcentral. Lineage: Eukaryota; Metazoa; Chordata; Mammalia; Artiodactyla; Bovidae.
UCCCUGGUGGCUCAGAGGUUAAAGCAUCUGCCUCCGAUGCAGGAGACCCGGGUUCGAUCCCCCAGGAAG